Molecule: non-coding RNA, 48 nt
Organism: Schistosoma haematobium
Lineage: Eukaryota; Metazoa; Platyhelminthes; Trematoda; Strigeidida; Schistosomatidae
Source: Rfam
AUUCACCUGACGAGUCUUAAAUAGGACGGAACGUGCGUCAAACUGGAU